CCAUCGGUGGUUCAGUGGUAGAAUGCUCGCCAGCCACGCCGGUGGCCCGGGUUCGAUUCCCGGCCGAUGCA
Molecule: transfer RNA, 71 nt
Filed under: Cordylochernes scorpioides
Lineage: Eukaryota; Metazoa; Arthropoda; Arachnida; Pseudoscorpiones; Chernetidae
Description: tRNA-Gly
Rfam family: tRNA
About the family: Transfer RNA (tRNA) molecules are approximately 80 nucleotides in length.
Source: RNAcentral